GGGGAGGGGCGCUGCCUUCCCGGGGGGCUCGGGGCGAAAGUUUCACCUCGGCUGCUCGCUGGGGUGAGCAAGGAGCGCGGAGCCCGGGAUGGAGAGAGCGAGCUCUGGUUCCUGAGGCCUCGCUCCCGAAAAGCCCCAGUAGAAGAACGUACGAAGAGCCAUGAAAAUGGAGACUUGCUCCUUCCUGCACCUGUGAUCCCUCCAUGGCCCAGGACGCCUCAAUACCAUGUCCUGCCCCUGUGAGGGGCCCUAUCUAGCCCAGACCCCCUCAGCCCAUGGCCCCCAGCCCUGCGGGGGUGGGUGGGAAGGGGUGAUUUCCUAGCUGCUGAGGAGGAGGUGAGAGGGGACGAGAGGUACGGCAGAUCCCCACCACCACCACGCCGCCGUCCUGGGCUCUUUUCACAUUGUGCUACUGUCUGAGCCCCUGCCAAGCAGUGCAAUGUCAAAAGGGCGUCGGGCAGGCGGUGCCAGCAGCGCCUGACCCAGUGCCUCCACCACUCUGCCUCUGGGGGUCUGGGAGAAGGAGGGCAGAGUGAGGAUCUGCAGGGGGACACAGACUACCCUUCCCAGAGUGGGGCAGAGGAGGGGAUGAGGGGGGUACUGUGCUCAUGGCAGGGGGCUUUGAUGCUGAGGAGGGGUGCUGGGCUUGGGGCAGGGGUUUCAGGAACUCAGUUGCCUAGCAACCUAAUGAGCUUGUUUGGUUCAAUAACCCUAAGUGACUGACUGUGCUCCCUGAUUGAACUGAAGGGCCAUCAGGUCACCAAUGAACCCCUGUAGCUCCAGCAGCACAGCGGCUGCUCAAUGCAUUCCAUGUUCCCAGCUGUGCCAGACCCGCUUCCUGCUGGCCCUUGCCCCACUCGUUGCAAGCUCCACAACAGCUCUUCCCUUUGGACUCCUGCCCCCUGGCUCUGACUAAUGGCUUGUCCCCUGGCCACGACUCCGCUUCUGCCCUCUGAUUCUGCUCCAACCACUAGGCCAGACUCCUUCUCCGACCCCUUGGUCUCACCACCUACACCUGGGCAUGUGACAGUUUGCUAGAAGGUAGCAGGGGCUUUGCCACACAGCACGGAGCUUCUGUCCAGAAUGGCCCCAGCAGGAGUUCACCCCACCUUUGCAGACGUUGUUGGAGUCCUGCAGGAACUGCAGGCUCAAGUUGCCUUGCUGCAUGACCAGAAUGGGCCCUCCGGGCCCAGGUUCAAGCCCAGGCAGUGUCUUCUGUCCCCACAACUCUUGCAUCCAUUUUCCGUGAGCCCGAGUUGCCCCUACCCAGUAAGUUGGAGGGGGAUUGUGCCAAAUGUCAUGGGUUCCUUAACCAAUGUCGUCUCCAGUUCAUGUUGUGGCCAGUUGGACCUCACAGCUCAAUUCCAAGUGGGAUUAGUUCUCAGUCUGCUUCGAGGAGAGGCCCUGACAUGGGUGUCCCCUUUCCUGGAAGGGAGCAGUCCUCUCCUUGAACACUGCGGGAGCUUUGUACGGGCUGGGGUGGGCGUCUCCAUGGACCCUAAUGGAGAAUGGACAGCAGAAGCUGCUCUCCACGCCCUCUGGCAGAGGGUCGGGUCCGUCGCAGCAGAAUGCCAGUGUCUGGCCACAGACACUCACUGGAAUGAGGCUGUGCCGUGACACCACUUUAGGCAGGCACUCCACAAUUCUGCCAAAGAUGAAUUAGCACAGGUGGAACCUCCGCCUAGUCUAGCAGCUUUAAUUGGGCUUUGCAUCCAGAUUGAUGGUCGACCAAUGGAGCAAGCUCAAGAAAAGCAACAGGCCACCUGACCCCCGCUGCCCAGAACGCUCCCAUCUCCUGCAGUCCCAGUUGUCCUACCAGAUCCUGAACCAAUGCAAGUUGACCAAAUCCUGACCCACCUUUCCACUGCUGAAAAGAACUGUCGUCAGUGCCGAUGAGCAUGCUUUCCAACUCUAGUGAAUGGCUAGUCACAUUCUGUGGCAUGCUCCAGCCCUCGAAGGAUCCAGAACUGCCAACCAAAGUUUCAUUGGCAGUGCCCGGGAUUCCUGCCGAGUACAUAGAAUAUGCCGCGGUAUUUGACAAACAGAAGGCAGACGCUCUACUUCCUCAGCACACUUGAUGAUUGCACAAUUGACCUUCAACCAGGAACAGGAGUUCCUUUUGGGUGCAUUUACACCUUAUCUGCACCCCAGCUGCAGGCCCUCCAGGAGUACCUUGAGGAAAAUCUGGGGAAGAGGUUCAUUGUCCCUUGACUUCCCGAGUGGCAGCACGUCUUCUUUGUGGCUAAGAAGGAUGGCUCCCUCCCUUAUAUUGAACCUUUAACGAGAUCACAGUCUGCGACUGAUGCCCCUUUUCAUAAAUAAACUGGAAAGAUUCUCAGUCAGGUCUUCACAAAGCUAGACUGGUGUGGGGCAUACAACCUGUCAGAAUCCAGCAAGGGAAUGUGUGAUGCUGACAGACCAUUGGCCAGCUCAUGCCAAGGCCCUUAGAUCUCAACUGAACGCUGGCAAAUAUGUAGCUGGAACCAGUCUGGCUCACCCAUGUGCUAAUAUUGUUAAAGUAGGUAUUAGAGUUAUAAAAAUGUGUUGCUGCAUGCGCUAAUCUAAUCUAAUAUCUGUAUCCUAUGUUACAAGGUAACAAAUACAACAAGGAGUCCUGUGGCACCUUAAAGACUAACAGAUUUAU
Mauremys reevesii (Reeves's turtle) is the source of this 2644-nucleotide long non-coding RNA. RefSeq lists it as uncharacterized. Lineage: Eukaryota; Metazoa; Chordata; Testudines; Geoemydidae. The record is from RefSeq and is a predicted model, not a curated record. The transcript has 3 exons.